UGGAGUAGAAUAAGGAAGGGUAAUGGAAGAAAGUAAUAGAAUAACAGCUCCUAGUCCCAGUUUGCCCAAGAACCAGAGUCACUCCUAGCAGCUGAAGCAUUUCCUGACCAUGAGCAGAGGAGGCAGACAAUUUUUAAGUAAUGUACUCUGACAUAUCUUGCAUAUCCACAGCAGCAUGUGGAGAGAAUGGAGGCUGAGAGCUGACCUGAGAUGGUACCUAGAGGUUCAUCUUUUCUGCCACUGAGACAGUGCAAAUUUGGAAGUGAAGGGGAACAUGUGGUAUUUUAAGGCAAAUACAUAGUCUUUGCAUAUGGAUGUUAGAACAGCAUAUGGAUGUGGUCAACAGAUGGACAUAGAUCUACAGAGGACAGUAGAGCUCAGUUUUACUAAAGGGGCUUCUUCCCAGACACCAGUAAAACAGACAUGUUCUUCAGUGCUGUUUUCCCUAGCAAUGCUCCAAGGAACACCACUGCUGUGUAUUCCCAUAGCUGCACAAUUAGCAGCAGGGGGAAGAUGAAGCUGGUCUCUCUACUGAAGGGAUCCCACAAAGAGCUGGGAUAGCCAGCAUAGGCUCACAGAUCCAGGAGAGCCUCAGCAGUUGUACCCCUUUCUGAGAUACAAUGUACUGUGACUUUUCUCUUAUUUGGACAGUUAUAGUCCAUUUACACACUAAAUUAAGCCAGACCACCUCUCCUCUGUGAUUACUGAAUGGCAGUCAGUUCUAGAGACAGGGAAUACUCUCACACUUCAGGCUUUUGAUAUGUUGUUCACUCAAUUCUUUCAGGUUCUGCUAGAUAUUAAGGUAUUGUCCCAGUAAUUUUGUAUAAUUUGACUGCACACUCAAACAAUGCUUUUGAGUAAAUUAUGAUGCUACUCAUUGUGACUGAACAGGAAUGGGAAUAGAUUUGUCUCUGUUCUCAGAGGAGAUAAGCCCACCCAUUAGGAGAAAGUUUCCUGGUUUACACUCUUGGCAUAAAAUGAAAUUCCCUAUCUGUACUAUCCUUGCUUAUACCCUGAACCCAUAAACACUUUCACUAAAUAUUUGCAAAGAAGAGGAAACACAGCCAAAUCCUACUAAGUUAUAAUGAACAGCAAUCAUAUUGCAGAACAUUUGUCUUUUCUGCAUAUUCCACUGGGGAGAGGUUGCUUUAAAACUUUCAAUAUGAUUUAAGCACAAAUGCUUUUUAUAUAGGUCAGGAAAGAGAAAUGUAAUUUCCCUCAGUUUUAUUUAGUCAAAGUUCUCUGUUCUAGCACUUAAUUAAUGACUCUGGUGAAAUGCUUUGAAAACAGUAACAUUUCUAACCCCAAAUGUGUUGCCAAAAUGAGUACUUCCUGGUCAUUAUCUAUUUUGGAGAGGAUGCUGAACACACAUGCAUGUGCUGUUAAUAAACUCAAGGAAACUAUUUUUAUGGCUGUGGAAAAAAAGGAAAAAAUAUAUUUCUUCUUCAGUACUUGUCUCUGUCAGUUAUAGCUGUGGGAAACAAAAAACUGAAAUAAGAAAUGUGGAAAGCAAAGGAGCAGAGGGAAGGAAAGCCACACAGGGGUGUGCAACAAUAACCCACCUGGAACAGUCAGCUUCCCCAUUUGGCUUUAGCAUUUAAUUUCUUUUCUGACGCAUACACCCUUGAAACCCAAGCACCCCAAAGACAGCCCACAUAAGGACAUAAGCACCCAGAAUCAAAAAUGAGGCAGAACUGGGUCCAAAAUACAAUCCUCAAAUGUUUACCUAAUCCAAUGACUACCUGGGGUUUUGCCAGUAAUUUUUCCUAUGGCUUUAAGCUUUUAUGUCUCUUAAAGCCCAGCCUCUGCGUCAGCCACUGCAGCCCAGAGGGUAUGUGCACUCAGAGUUCCCCUUAGGUUUGUUUCAAAUUCCUACUGCAAUCUGACAACAUUGCUAUCAAACAUCUCCCUAAACAAGGGGUGACACACAUCCCGCUGUGCCACAGCCUGAUGUCCCCUUACCCAGGCAGCACCAAAUGCACUGAUCCUGCAGGCACUACUGUUAGAAAUACUUUCAACUGUCAGAGCCCCUAAUUGCCAUACUUCAUACUUGGAAGAUUUGGAACUGUCCCCCAGGACUGUCCUGUCCUUCCUCUUCAACUCUUUUGCUACCAGACCUACAACUCAAGAGUGGAGAAAAGUUCACUGAUAAGUCCCCCACAUUGUCUGGAAGAUUUCUCAUGGAAGCCCUUUUCACACCAUGAUACCACUCAAGCACACACAUACCUGGAGGAGGCUCCAGUAGGAAACCCUGCAUGGUUCUCAAGAGGUACAGAGGAAGUUAAAAAUACCCCAAAGGUGUAAAAAAAAAUAAUCUUCAGUGUUAUUGGCACAUCUUUAUUCAUAAAAUAAACUGUAAAAUCUUGUCAAGGCUGUGACAAUGAAACAUUGGAUCUACAUGAAAAAAGCACACAAAGCAUGAAAUAGCAUCAAGCAUUAGUGUCUUCUAGGUGACUGGACUAAGUCCUGAUGCUUAUCUUGAGGUGGGGUGUGCUGAUGGGAGUGACAGCAGUGAUAAGGUGGAGACACCACAAGCAGAGAUGAGAAGGUUUCACUUCUAAGUGAGGAUGGCAAUGAUUUUGAUUCUGACACACAAAAAAAGUCAUCCCUGAAAUAACAGUUGGUGAAAGAGCUGAUCUGUGCAUCAAUAUCUAACAGCGAUUGAAACAGGAAGUGGUUCUUGAGAUCUCAGGUAAAUGUGAAAACAGCAACAUAGACUAACAAGUAAACCAUAAAUCUCCUCACUGAAAUACUUACUGGAUGCAUCACCCAUCUUUAAACAGCACAAACACUGCUCUUCGAAUGUUGUUCCACAGACCCACAGCACUGACAAAAUAAACAGCUGCCCAGGACUUCUCAUUCUGCAUUUCUACUUUCUGCUGGAAAACAAUGAUACUGGCUAAACAUGUGUAUUGUAAACAUUUGCCUGUGUUGUUCUUGCUUUGUAUAUUUACACAUCCAUGUAAAUUUUAUGUUUUAGUUUUGACAGAGAAAACCUGCAGUGACUUUUAAGUUUAACACAUUAAUUCUGACGACGUUGUUUCACGUACUGCCAAUAUGCUUUUUUUUUUUUUUUUUAAGAACAUAAAACAUAUUAAGAAAGCACACUUGCUUCAUGAAACUUCACACUACUGUUACAUGUUUCAGGGGCCAAGAAAGUGAUCUAAUGCAAGGUUUUUGACCAGUGAAGUUACUCUGCAUCAUUGGAUUUACUUGGCAAGGCCAAGGAAACAAAGUGCAGAAGGCAUGGGGAUCCCAUGUGAAAGUUUGCCAGCCUGGAAAGAAAGAAGCUAAGGCAAUGCCAAGUCACAAAUGCUGAAUUUGUUGAAAAGCUGGAUCAUGUUAGCAGGAGAUGCAACACAUGGAUGAGGAGAACAGCACAGAGGUUGUUGAGAACAAUGUGUGAAGUUUUAGACAACUAGUCAGCAAGCUGGCAUCUUUAUUUUAAACUAGAUGCAAACUUUAGAGGGACUCAUGCUCUUGGAGAAAAAAAAAAA
This 3497-nucleotide long non-coding RNA is filed under the name Taeniopygia guttata (zebra finch). RNAcentral describes it as "lncRNA (ENSTGUG00000020368.1)". Lineage: Eukaryota; Metazoa; Chordata; Aves; Passeriformes; Estrildidae. The record is from RNAcentral.